This 273-nucleotide unclassified non-coding RNA is filed under the name fungal sp. RNAcentral describes it as "partial contains small subunit ribosomal RNA and internal transcribed spacer 1". The record is from RNAcentral. Lineage: Eukaryota; Fungi.
AAGUCGUAACAAGGUUUUCCUACUGAAGCCUGACACGGCGACUCAAAAGAAUCGUGGAGUCCAUCAUGGGCAAUGCCAACGAAGUGCUGGGCCCCUCCUCAGGAUGCCAGCAGCCGUCUCUCGCCCUUCGAGGGCGAGGUUCGGUCCACAGAUCAGGCAGUGGCAGCCGGGGUCAUGGACCCUCGGCUAAGAUAUGACCGGUCAGCGGCCGCGGCAGGCCAGCUGAGAGACGUUCCGUAGGUGAACCUGCGGAAGGAUCAUUAUCGAGUUAGG